RNAcentral lists this ribosomal RNA (303 nucleotides) under Callibaetis sp. BYU IGCEP020. RNAcentral's name for it is "partial 12S ribosomal RNA". Lineage: Eukaryota; Metazoa; Arthropoda; Insecta; Ephemeroptera; Baetidae. The record is from RNAcentral.
CUUACAUUUUAACUCAAGGAUUUGGCGGCACCCUACCUCGUUAGAGGAACCUGCCACAUAAUUGAUGGCCCACGAUUUAACCUACCCUUCCCUAACGUUUGUAUACCGCCGUCAAGAAUUUGUUAUGAAACUCGUUCUCUCAAGUUUUAGCUUGAAAAUCAGGUCAAGGUGCAGCCUAUGGAGGGGUGUUAGGUGGGUUACAUUUCGCAUGAAACGGAAAAUGGUUAGAAUAGCUAUUAAAAGUUGGAUUUAAUCGUAAGCCCGUUGGAUUAAAGGGGCUGACUGAGCUCUAGGGUGUGCACA